AUUUGAUUAACAAAUGAGUGCCGAUCCUAUUGACCAUCCUCUUCGACGAGAGGGAAGCGACGACGAAGAAUCUCUGGAGGAUGGAUCAGCAACUGGAAGAACACCAUCGUCGAAUGAUUCAGGUACAGAUGGACCAAGCGAAAGUCCUAACAUCUCUAAGCAAGGCAACAAAGUUCUCGAUAAGAGCGAUCAAGUGAAAGAUAGCCUGCAUGAAAUGCAACGUGGAAAAUAUGAUAAAACUGGAGUAUUGCAGAAACAUGGAACUGAAGAUCAAAAUAUCCGACAGUCUGAGACUCUGUUAGUGAAGAGUGGUGAAAGUGAGACGCAAUCAGAAAAAAAUCACCAGACUGAAGCUCAGCAAAGAAAAUAUGGUCAGAGCGCAGUGCAGCAAGGAAUAAGAAGCCACGAACCGGC
Non-coding RNA from Paramuricea clavata, 414 nucleotides. The record is from the annotation of a GenBank genome assembly. NCBI's taxonomy places the organism in Eukaryota, Metazoa, Cnidaria, Anthozoa, Malacalcyonacea, Plexauridae.